UACCAAAAGACAAUAG
RNAcentral lists this transfer RNA (16 nucleotides) under Pollicipes pollicipes. RNAcentral's name for it is "partial tRNA-Phe". The record is from RNAcentral. Lineage: Eukaryota; Metazoa; Arthropoda; Thecostraca; Pollicipedomorpha; Pollicipedidae.